This 468-nucleotide ribosomal RNA is filed under the name uncultured bacterium. RNAcentral's name for it is "partial 16S ribosomal RNA". It matches the Rfam family "Bacterial small subunit ribosomal RNA", at positions 28 to 507 of the family's 1533-position model. The record is from RNAcentral.
GACGAACGCUGGCGGCGUGCUUAACACAUGCAAGUCGAACGGAAAGGCCCUGCUUUUGUGGGGUGCUCGAGUGGCGAACGGGUGAGUAACACGUGAGUAACCUGCCCUUGACUUUGGGAUAACUUCAGGAACCGGGGCCAAUUCCGGAAUGGAGCCUCUGCCGCCUGGGGGGGGGUGGAAAGUUUUCGGCGGUUGGGGAUGGACUCGCGGCUUAUCAGCUUGUUGGUGGGGUAGUGGCUUACCAAGGCUUUGACGGGUAGCCGGCCUGAGAGGGUGACCGGCCACAUUGGGACUGAGAUACGGCCCAGACUCCUACGGGAGGCAGCAGUGGGGAAUAUUGCACAAUGGGCGGAAGCCUGAUGCAGCAACGCCGCGUGCGGGAUGACGGCCUUCGGGUUGUAAACCGCUUUCGCCUGUGACGAAGCGUGAGUGACGGUAAUGGGUAAAGAAGCACCGGCUAACUACGUG